UACGGGGGGGGCGAGCGUUGUUCGGAAUUAUUGGGCGUAAAGGGCGCGUAGGCGGUGUGGUAAGUCUGUUGUGAAACCUCCAGGCUCAACUUGGAGCUUGCAUCAGAAACUGCCGUGCUAGAGUGUGGGAGAGGAGAGUGGAAUUCCUGGUGUAGCGGUGAAAUGCGUAGAUAUCUGGAGGAACACCGGUGGCGAAGGCGGCAUCCUGGACCGACACUGACACUGAGGAGCGAAAGCCAGGGGAGCAAACGGG
This 253-nucleotide ribosomal RNA is filed under the name uncultured bacterium. RNAcentral describes it as "partial 16S ribosomal RNA". It matches the Rfam family "Bacterial small subunit ribosomal RNA", at positions 524 to 776 of the family's 1533-position model. The record is from RNAcentral.